GGGAAGUGCGCACUCCCGGCGGCGGGCAGGCUCUCCCGCGGCGCGCUGCUCGGACGCAGGCCGGCUCGGCGGAGCAGACGGAGGCAGGAUGGCAAAACAGAAAAGAAAAGUUAGAGAAGUGACAGAGGAAAAGAACAAAAAGUUGAAGAAGGUGGCAGUAGAGGAGCUCCUGCUCGCACCUGAAACCACGUCGAAUGAAAAGGAAGCACCCCCAGAGGCUCUCGGGAUGGCGUGCUUUUCAAGGAGAGGGAGCGGAGCGGACCCAGGUGGUGACGAAGGGCAAGAAGGGUCGGGCGCUGCGGAGAAGGAUCGCGCCCGCUGCCUGGCUGCCCCCGUCCCAGGAUGAGCCGCCGGGAUCCAGCACGGAGAACGGAGCAGCCCCUCGCCCUUCUGGCCAUUGUGUGGUCCCC
This 410-nucleotide long non-coding RNA is filed under the name Dasypus novemcinctus (nine-banded armadillo). RNAcentral describes it as "lncRNA (ENSDNOG00000051521.1)". Lineage: Eukaryota; Metazoa; Chordata; Mammalia; Cingulata; Dasypodidae. The record is from RNAcentral.